RNAcentral lists this non-coding RNA (31 nucleotides) under Xenopus tropicalis (tropical clawed frog). Lineage: Eukaryota; Metazoa; Chordata; Amphibia; Anura; Pipidae. RNAcentral also lists the same sequence under 1 other name. The record is from RNAcentral.
UGACAACAGUUACCUAGAGUUCGGUGCUCCC